GAUGAACGCUGGCGGCAUGCCUAACACAUGCAAGUCGAGCGACAAGACGAUGAGCUUUCUCCCCUGACGUUAGCGGCGGACGGGUGAGUAACCCGUGGAUAACCUACUAAUAAGUCUGGGAUAACUUCGGGAAACCGGAGCUAAUACCAGAGAAUAUAUUGAACCGCAUGGUUCAAUAGUGAAAGACGGUUUUCGUGUCACUUAUAGAUGGAUCCGCGCCGCAUUAGCUAGUUGGUAAGGUAACGGCUUACCAAGGCGACGAUGCGUAGCUGACCUGAGAGGGUGAUCAGCCACACUGGAACUGAGACACGGUCCAGACUCCUACGGGAGGCAGCAGUAGGGAAUAUUGCGCAAUGGGCGAAAGCCUGACGGAGCAACGCCGCGUGAGUGAUGAAGGUCUUCGGGUCGUAAAACUCUUUUGUUGGGGAAGAAAAACUGUGUAAUUAACUAUGCACGUCUUGACGGUACCUAAAGAGAAAGCAACGGCUAACUACGUG
This 497-nucleotide ribosomal RNA is filed under the name uncultured bacterium. RNAcentral describes it as "partial 16S ribosomal RNA". It matches the Rfam family "Bacterial small subunit ribosomal RNA", at positions 28 to 507 of the family's 1533-position model. The record is from RNAcentral.